GAUGAACGCUGGCGGCGUGCCUAAUACAUGCAAGUCGAGCGAACGGACGAGAAGCUUGCUUCUCUGAUGUUAGCGGCGGACGGGUGAGUAACACGUGGAUAACCUACCUAUAAGACUGGGAUAACUUCGGGAAACCGGAGCUAAUACCGGAUAAUAUUUUGAACCGCAUGGUUCAAAAGUGAAAGACGGUCUUGCUGUCACUUAUAGAUGGAUCCGCGCUGCAUUAGCUAGUUGGUAAGGUAACGGCUUACCAAGGCAACGAUGCAUAGCCGACCUGAGAGGGUGAUCGGCCACACUGGAACUGAGACACGGUCCAGACUCCUACGGGAGGCAGCAGUAGGGAAUCUUCCGCAAUGGGCGAAAGCCUGACGGAGCAACGCCGCGUGAGUGAUGAAGGUAUUCGGAUCGUAAAACUCUGCUAUUAGGGAAGAACAUAUGUGUAAGUAACUGUGCACAUCUUGACGGUACCUAAUCAGAAAGCCACGGCUAACUACGUG
Molecule: ribosomal RNA, 497 nt
Filed under: uncultured bacterium
Lineage: Bacteria
Description: partial 16S ribosomal RNA
Rfam family: Bacterial small subunit ribosomal RNA
Source: RNAcentral